UACCGAAGCUUCUGUUGUUUCUGCUGGGACUUCUGUUGUUGUGUUGGGCUGUUCUGGUGUACUAGUUUCGACCUCAGGUUGAGUACUCGACUCUACCGAAGCUUCUGUUGUUUCUACUAUAACUUCAGUGCUUGUGUUGGGCUGUUCUGGUACUGGUGUGCUUACUUCUAGUGUACUAGUUUCGAUCUCAGGUUGAGUAGUAGACUCUACCGAAGCUUCUGUUGUUUCUACUGGCACUUCAGUGCUUGUGUUAGGCUGUUCUGGUAGUGGUGUGCUUACUUCUAGUGUACUAGUUUCGACCUCAGGUUGAGUAGUAGACUCUACCGAAGCUUCUGUUGUUUCUACUGGCACUUCAGUGCUUGUGUUAGGCUGUUCUGGUAGUGGUGUGCUUA
This is a long non-coding RNA of Bactrocera dorsalis (oriental fruit fly), 392 nucleotides long. RefSeq lists it as uncharacterized. The transcript has 3 exons. The record is from RefSeq and is a predicted model, not a curated record. NCBI's taxonomy places the organism in Eukaryota, Metazoa, Arthropoda, Insecta, Diptera, Tephritidae.